RNAcentral lists this ribosomal RNA (848 nucleotides) under uncultured Planctomycetota bacterium. RNAcentral describes it as "bacterial SSU rRNA". It matches the Rfam family "Bacterial small subunit ribosomal RNA", at positions 9 to 870 of the family's 1533-position model. Lineage: Bacteria; Pseudomonadati; Planctomycetota. The record is from RNAcentral.
GAGUUUGAUCCUGGCUCAGAAUGAACGUUGGCGGCGUGGAUUAUGCAUGCAAGUCGAGCGAGAACCCAGCAAUGGGGGACAGCGGCGCAAGGGACAGUAAUGUGUAGAUUAUCUGCCCUCGGGUCCGGGAUAGCUGCGGGAAACUGCAGGUAAUACCGGAUAACAUCUCCGGAUCAAAGGUGUGAUUCCGCCCGAGGAUGAGUCUGCAUCCUAUUAGCUAGUUGGCAGGGUAAUGGCCUACCAAGGCUUUGAUGGGUAGCGGGUGUGAGAGCACGACCCGCGUCAUUGGGACUGAGACACUGCCCAGACACCUACGGGUGGCUGCAGUCGAGAAUCUUCGGCAAUGGGCGCAAGCCUGACCGAGCGACGCCGCGUGUGGGAUGAAGGCCUUCGGGUUGUAAACCACUGUCAGAGGGGAUGAAAUGCAGGUGGGUUCUCCCAUCUGUUUGACAUAGCCUCAGAGGAAGGACGGGCUAAGUUCGUGCCAGCAGCCGCGGUAAGACGAACCGUCCGAACGUUAUUCGGAAUCACUGGGCUUAAAGGGUGCGUAGGCGGCGCGGAAAGUUGGGUGUGAAAUCCCUCGGCUUAACCGAGGAACUGCGCCCAAAACUACCGUGCUUGAGGGAGAUAGAGGUGAGCGGAACUUAGGGUGGAGCGGUGAAAUGCGUUGAUAUCCUAAGGAACACCGGUGGCGAAAGCGGCUCACUGGAUCUCUUCUGACGCUGAGGCACGAAAGCUAGGGUAGCGAACGGGAUUAGAUACCCCGGUAGUCCUAGCCGUAAACGAUGAGCACUGGAUUGGAGGGUCCUCCAUAGCCUUCCGGUCGCAACGAAAGCGUUAAGUGCUCC